CAUUAAAUGGCCCAGGCUGACCUUGAACUUGAGACCCUCCUGUCUCAGCCUCCUGAGUCGCUGGGAUGACUGAAACAACAUCAUUUUAAACACCCACGGGACCUGCCUGCCCUGACCCUGUUCACAGGGCCUCCCAGCCCUUAGCCCCAUGCGGGAGCCCUGGCCACCUGUGAGGGGCUGUUGAAGGUGAGCUGCUGCGGGAGGCAGCCUCCCCCACCCCAGAGCUUCAGAACGCAAGUUACUAAGAGCUCCCUGAGUCCCUACUGCACGUCCACCUGUCGUCCCAGCGGCUGGGGAGGCUGAGGCAGGAGGAUGGCAUGUUCAAGGCCAGCCUCAGCAACUUAGCGAGACCCUGUUUCAAAAUAAGAAAGGAGCAGGGCUGGGCGUGGCUUGGUGGCAGAGCCUCCCCGUCUGUCCCGUCACCUUCCUCCGGGUCUGGGACAGGGAUGGAUGGGACAGGAUGGGGAACAGGCGACUUGAGGCUCUCUUGGUCUCUGGUUUUCACCCAGUCGCUGAGGCAUCAGGCCCUGGAACACGGGCUCCCCAGGGACACACAGCCGCCAUGGUUCCAGUCGGCCUCUCCCGGGCAGAGGCCAGCCGGCGGAGGAGGACGCCCAGGCCGCAGGGCGGGUCUGCAGGGUCACCUCACCCCACAGCGGAGCCGGGGUCUGCCAGGGGGAAACCCGGAGGAGUCCACGGACAAAGAGGCGGCGUGGGAGCUGCUGCCUUCUUUCCCAGAGCACGACAGGCAUUUAUUGAGCAGCUACUGUGUGCCAGGCCCGCAUCCAGACACCAGGAAUCAGAGACCUGCGUGUCCACCUGCAGUCCAGCAGAAGGACCAGCCCCUCAUCACUGCCCGUUACGCGGCGACACUCCGACACCACGCCGUGGUUCCAGCUUCAUGGGUGUGCUCAGAAUCUAGUCCUGUCCCUCCAACUGUAAGGCGACCAGCCUGCCACAGGUCCUGACCGUCCUGCUCAGCGCAGUGGUCUCUCACCUCCUUUAGAAUUUGGGGGAUGCGAGGGACCACAAUAAAGACAACAAAACGGGGGGGGGGACUGGUUUUAGUGCCCGGAACUUAACAUCAGGAGGUCAAGCUAACUUCAGGCAUGGCUGGAUCCAGGGACUCCUGCUGCUCCUGGGGCUUGGCGGGGCGGGCUUCGUCCCUGCACAGCUGCCGCCCAGGGCACGCGCCGCCCCAGCAGCUUCAGGCUCCC
Molecule: long non-coding RNA, 1217 nt
Filed under: Ictidomys tridecemlineatus (thirteen-lined ground squirrel)
Lineage: Eukaryota; Metazoa; Chordata; Mammalia; Rodentia; Sciuridae
Description: lncRNA (ENSSTOG00000032418.1)
Source: RNAcentral